UGCAGCUGGGUUCUGGAACCAAC
Molecule: microRNA, 23 nt
Filed under: Canis lupus familiaris (dog)
Lineage: Eukaryota; Metazoa; Chordata; Mammalia; Carnivora; Canidae
Description: cfa-miR-8850
Source: miRBase by way of RNAcentral